RNAcentral lists this ribosomal RNA (255 nucleotides) under uncultured bacterium. RNAcentral describes it as "partial 16S ribosomal RNA". It matches the Rfam family "Bacterial small subunit ribosomal RNA", at positions 524 to 776 of the family's 1533-position model. The record is from RNAcentral.
UACGAAGGGGGCUAGCGUUGUUCGGAAUUACUGGGCGUAAAGCGCACGUAGGCGGGUUUGUAAGUAGGGGGGUGAAAUCCCAGGGCUCAACCCUGGAACUGCCUUCUAAACUGCAAGCCUGGAGGUCAGGAGAGGCGAGUGGAAUACCGAGUGUAGAGGUGAAAAUUCGUAGAUAUUCGGUGGAACACCAGUGGCGAAGGCGACUCGCUGGACUGAUACUGACGCUGAGGUGCGAAAGCGUGGGGAGCAAACAGG